AUCAACUUUACACCUGGGCUGCAGUUAGUCAACCCCCACACACUCACUAGAUUAUAUCGAAGGGCAGUUUCCCAGGAGAGUCCCAGCUGCUUGGCCACCAUCUAAACCUCCUGAUGAGGAACACAGGCCUAUGGAUGCUGACACAGAGAAGCCUGAGGUGCUGAGGCUGACCAUCUGAAGUCCGUAGAGUGAAAUCUCCUAGAAGGACAGGCUGGAAAGGAAGUUAGAGAGUAAUGUGCUUGCUCCAGAAGUUUGUAGCAGAAAUGUUAAUAAGAAGGGAUCCUUUCCAGUUAUCUUUUCUCCUUAUCUUCUCUCUCUUCAUUUCCCUUUACUUAUUUGAUGCAACCCACCCCCACCACAGUGGUUUUUCUGGAGCCUCUAUUCAUAUCUCUAUCAUGUGAAUUACUUAGGUUUAGAUCUGAUCUGUAUCUACUAUCUGUCUUCUGUGUAGACUACUAACAUUUCAAGACCUUUGGAUACAUUAUAUACUUAAAUAUUGAGUGAAUAAAUGAAGAUCUUUUGUUGAAAAA
Molecule: long non-coding RNA, 530 nt
Organism: Bubalus bubalis (water buffalo)
Lineage: Eukaryota; Metazoa; Chordata; Mammalia; Artiodactyla; Bovidae
Exons: 2
Source: RefSeq, a predicted model, not a curated record